Long non-coding RNA from Nicotiana tabacum (common tobacco), 499 nucleotides. RefSeq lists it as uncharacterized. Lineage: Eukaryota; Viridiplantae; Streptophyta; Magnoliopsida; Solanales; Solanaceae. The record is from RefSeq and is a predicted model, not a curated record.
UUCCUCAGUCAGCGCACAUUCUAAUAAAAUUAAGACUAGCUAUAGCUUCAUCUCAUUUUCUCAAGUAAUUAAUCCAUAAUUUGCUAAUGGCUUUCUUCUUCAGGCGCAUAGUGCCCAAAACCAUGGAAAUAUUUCCAAGCUCCCAGGCUUGUCUGCUUAAGACUAUUACCAUAAGAUGCAUAAACACAACUGCAAGGAAGCCGCCAAGGCCGAUAGUAGAAACUAAACCACCACAACACAACAUAGUUCUUGAUCAAAUCAAAGACAAGAAAGAGAUUUUGAUGACUGAGGAGAAGGGUAACAAAAUGCUCCAAGACAAUAAUUCCAUGGUCAAGACAAACUAAGAACAUUGUUAAAAAUAAUAAGUCAUUUGUACUUGCCUGAUUUCAGACAAGAUGGUAACUAAUAGAUUCAAUAUCAUUGAGCUUCUUUCUCCCAUAAUUCAUGAUGAGAACUAGAAACACUCCAUGAUUAUGAAAAUCUACUUCUUCUUUUUUUA